Molecule: ribosomal RNA, 433 nt
Filed under: uncultured bacterium
Lineage: Bacteria
Description: partial 16S ribosomal RNA
Rfam family: Bacterial small subunit ribosomal RNA
Source: RNAcentral
AACGAACGCUGGCGGCAUGCCUAACACAUGCAAGUCGAACGAGACCUUCGGGUCUAGUGGCGCACGGGUGCGUAACGCGUGGGAACCUGCCUUUAGGUUCGGAAUAACUCAGAGAAAUUUGAGCUAAUACCGGAUGAUGUCUUCGGACCAAAGAUUUAUCGCCUUUAGAUGGGCCCGCGUUGGAUUAGCUAGUUGGUGGGGUAAAGGCCUACCAAGGCGACGAUCCAUAGCUGGUCUGAGAGGAUGAUCAGCCACACUGGGACUGAGACACGGCCCAGACUCCUACGGGAGGCAGCAGUGGGGAAUAUUGGACAAUGGGCGAAAGCCUGAUCCUGCAAUGCCGCGUGAGUGAUGAAGGCCUUAGGGUUGUAAAGCUCUUUUACCCGAGAUGAUAAUGACAGUAUCGGGAGAAUAAGCUCCGGCUAACUCCGUG